UGGGGAAUUUUGGACAAUGGGCGAAAGCCUGAUCCAGCAAUGCCGCGUGUGUGAAGAAGGCCUUCGGGUUGUAAAGCACUUUUGUCCGGAAAGAAAUCCUUGGCUCUAAUACAGUCGGGGGAUGACGGUACCGGAAGAAUAAGCACCGGCUAACUACGUGCCAGCAGCCGCGGUAAUACGUAGGGUGCAAGCGUUAAUCGGAAUUACUGGGCGUAAAGCGUGCGCAGGCGGUUUGCUAAGACCGAUGUGAAAUCCCCGGGCUCAACCUGGGAACUGCAUUGGUGACUGGCGGGCUAGAGUAUGGCAGAGGGGGGUAGAAUUCCACGUGUAGCAGUGAAAUGCGUAGAGAUGUGGAGGAAUACCGAUGGCGAAGGCAGCCCCUGGGCCAAUACUGACGCUCAUGCACGAAAGCGUGGGGAGCAAACAGGAUUAGAUACCCUGGUAGUCCACGCCCUAAACGAUGUCAACUAGUUGUU
This 476-nucleotide ribosomal RNA is filed under the name uncultured bacterium. RNAcentral's name for it is "partial 16S ribosomal RNA". It matches the Rfam family "Bacterial small subunit ribosomal RNA", at positions 355 to 824 of the family's 1533-position model. The record is from RNAcentral.